RNAcentral lists this ribosomal RNA (477 nucleotides) under uncultured bacterium. Its description in RNAcentral is "bacterial SSU rRNA". It matches the Rfam family "Bacterial small subunit ribosomal RNA", at positions 38 to 507 of the family's 1533-position model. The record is from RNAcentral.
GGCGGCAUGCUUUACACAUGCAAGUCGGAACGGCAGCGGCGGGGGCAACCCUGGCGGCGAGUGGCGAACGGGUGAGUAAUGCAUCGGAACGUAUCCUGUAAUGGGGGAUAACGUAGCGAAAGUUACGCUAAUACCGCAUACGCUCGAGAGAGGAAAGUGGGGGAUCGCAAGACCUCACGUUAUAGGAGCGGCCGAUGUCCGAUUAGCUAGUUGGUGGGGUAAAGGCCUACCAAGGCGACGACCGGUAGCUGGUCUGAGAGGAUGAUCAGCCACACUGGGACUGAGACACGGCCCAGACUCCUACGGGAGGCAGCAGUGGGGAAUUUUGGACAAUGGGCGAAAGCCUGAUCCAGCCAUGCCGCGUGCGGGAAGAAGGCCUUCGGGUUGUAAACCGCUUUAGUCCGGGAAAAAGGGGUGCGAGGAUAAUACCCUCGUGCUUUGAUGGUACUGGAAGAAUAAGCACCGGCUAACUACGUG